CCCGGAUAUUGUCAGCGGAGAAACUCCCGAUCUUCCGAGAAUGGAAUAAGUUUCCGGGCGGAAACGUGUCCCGACUAUUUGAGGUCUAGAUGGACGCAGUUCGGAAUUCUAGUUUCGAGCCGCCAGCUAUCCGGUUCUGCUUUUUUUCUGAAUAGAACGCUCCCAGGAUUUGCUACCCCGAUAGGCCGGCAGCGAUGGACGAAUGGGCUCACCUUCAGUUUCUGCCAGCACUUUCUGGGCGGCCGUUUGAUGUACAGAUAGCCUCGCUUGACUACCUGGUUGCCCGCGGCCGAUUUUUCUUCCAUCCUCAGCUAGGUGAGCGCGUCAUCUCGGCUCCAAAUUUGCUGUGGUCCCGAAUUCGCUUCUCCGCCCGCUCCUACCUUCUAUUGUCACGUGACGGAUGAAGAGCGCGCCACCUGUCUGCCGAAGACCACAUCCCGACAGGUUUUAUCUGUUAGAAGUGGACUAUCUAGUCGUUUACCGAGUGAGUAAAUAGAUCGAAGCGUAAACCGGAGACCAGCUGGCUACAGUUGGUCCCGAUAUUACGUCUCCAGCUGCCAAUAGUAGUAUCUUAGUUCUCCGCCGUUCGGCAGAAUAGGAAAUAACCUACUGAGCUUAACGGAUAAAACAGCCAUCGGAUGCUUAACAGAACCUUGGUAUUUUUUUUCUGGCCCUCUGACCUUUACUAAUAGCCAUACUCUCUACCAUUGGUAUUGGAAAUUUUCCAUGCCCUUUAAGGAGUCAUUCGAGUUUUACGUCAGCAUUUUAAAGGAAGGGAGAGAUAAAGAAGAUCUUAUCGUUUCUCUUAUGUGGAGAUUUAAAUAUCUUAGAGAAGCGUGGAGGUAAAAUAUAUUUCAAUUUUAAGAUUUAAGUUG
RNAcentral lists this long non-coding RNA (875 nucleotides) under Androctonus crassicauda. Lineage: Eukaryota; Metazoa; Arthropoda; Arachnida; Scorpiones; Buthidae. The record is from RNAcentral.